This 981-nucleotide ribosomal RNA is filed under the name human oral metagenome. RNAcentral's name for it is "bacterial LSU rRNA". It matches the Rfam family "Bacterial large subunit ribosomal RNA", at positions 1946 to 2925 of the family's 2925-position model. The record is from RNAcentral.
CGGUCCUAAGGUAGCGAAAUUCCUUGUCGGGUAAGUUCCGACCUGCACGAAUGGCAUAAUGAUGGCCAGGCUGUCUCCACCCGAGACUCAGUGAAAUUGAAAUCGCCGUGAAGAUGCGGUGUACCCGCGGCUAGACGGAAAGACCCCGUGAACCUUUACUAUAGCUUGACACUGAACAUUGAAUUUUGAUGUGUAGGAUAGGUGGGAGACUUUGAAGUAGUCACGCCAGUGAUUAUGGAGUCGUCCUUGAAAUACCACCCUUUAACGUUUGAUGUUCUAACGAAGAUUGCGAAACGCGGUCUCGGACAGUGUCUGGUGGGUAGUUUGACUGGGGCGGUCUCCUCCCAAAGCGUAACGGAGGAGCACGAAGGUUUGCUAAUCACGGUCGGACAUCGUGAGGUUAGUGCAAUGGUAUAAGCAAGCUUAACUGCGAGACAGACAAGUCGAGCAGGUACGAAAGUAGGUCAUAGUGAUCCGGUGGUUCUGUAUGGAAGGGCCAUCGCUCAACGGAUAAAAGGUACUCCGGGGAUAACAGGCUGAUACCGCCCAAGAGUUCAUAUCGACGGCGGUGUUUGGCACCUCGAUGUCGGCUCAUCACAUCCUGGGGCUGAAGUAGGUCCCAAGGGUAUGGCUGUUCGCCAUUUAAAGUGGUACGCGAGCUGGGUUUAGAACGUCGUGAGACAGUUCGGUCCCUAUCUGCCGUGGGCGUUGGAGAAUUGAUUGGGGCUGCUCCUAGUACGAGAGGACCGGAGUGGACGCAUCACUGGUGUUCCGGUUGUGUCGCCAGACGCAUUGCCGGGUAGCUACAUGCGGAAGAGAUAAGUGCUGAAAGCAUCUAAGCACGAAACUUGCCAAGAGAUGAGUUCUCCCACACAUCAAGUGUGUAAGGGUUGUUUAAGACUAAGACGUAGAUAGGUGCGGUGUGUAAGUGUAGUGAUACAUUGAGCUAACGCAUACUAAUUGCCCGAGAGGCUUAGCCAU